UAUUUACUUCUAAUUUUAGCAACCAGCCUGGUGAUUUCUCCUUUAUUAACUUCUUUUAUAGAAGCAUGAGGCCCGUCAAGGAUUACAUCCCAAAGCUUAUUAUAUUUAGCCAUGAUAAAAUCAUGCAUUCUUGUCAUCCACCAACUAUAGUAUUGGCUACUGAAUCGAGGUGUUCUGGUGGUUAACUGUCCUUCCUCCAAAUUUGGUGGUGC
RNAcentral lists this long non-coding RNA (212 nucleotides) under Capsicum annuum. RNAcentral describes it as "long non-coding RNA (CANN_LNC010315)". Lineage: Eukaryota; Viridiplantae; Streptophyta; Magnoliopsida; Solanales; Solanaceae. The record is from RNAcentral.